UACACUCGUAACCUCCCUUUCUUCACAGCGUGGAUUCGACUAAUCACCACCACCACCAUCCUUCGGGCCAUCAUCUUCCUCAAUCGGUAAAUGCAUUGUGAAUUCUACGAUCAGGUGCCAUGAAAACCCUUCAAAAUUUGUUCCUUUCACAUAAAUUCCACAUUAUUCCAAGAUUGAUUUUUCACAUGUUUCACCAAAAAAAAAA
Molecule: long non-coding RNA, 205 nt
Filed under: Musa acuminata (dwarf banana)
Lineage: Eukaryota; Viridiplantae; Streptophyta; Magnoliopsida; Zingiberales; Musaceae
Description: long non-coding RNA (MACU_LNC008614)
Source: RNAcentral